AUUGAACGCUGGCGGAAUGCUUUACACAUGCAAGUCGAACGGCAGCACGGGUGCUUGCACCUGGUGGCGAGUGGCGAACGGGUGAGUAAUGCACCUGCACGUAACCAAUAAUGGGGGAUAACGCACCGAAAGGUGUGCUAAUACCGCAUCCGCCCUGCGGAGGACAGCGGGGGAUCGAAAACUCUCGCGGUACGGGAGCUGCCGAUGCCGGUCUAGCGACUUGGUGGGGUAAAGGUUCACCAAGGCGACGAUCCGUAGCUGGUAUGAGAGGACGACCAGCCACACUGGAACUGAGACACGGUCCAGACUCCUACGGGAGGCAGCAGUGGGGAAUUUUGGACAAUGGGCGAAAGCCUGAUCCAGCCAUUCCGCGUGAGUGAAGAAGGCCUUCGGGUUGUAAAGCUCUUUCGCAAGGAAAGAAAACUCAUUUCCUAAUACGAGAUGAGGAUGACGGUACCUUGACAAGAAGCACCGGCUAACUACGUGCCAGCAGCCGCGGUAA
This 502-nucleotide ribosomal RNA is filed under the name uncultured bacterium. RNAcentral's name for it is "partial 16S ribosomal RNA". It matches the Rfam family "Bacterial small subunit ribosomal RNA", at positions 30 to 523 of the family's 1533-position model. The record is from RNAcentral.